This 1343-nucleotide ribosomal RNA is filed under the name uncultured bacterium. Its description in RNAcentral is "16S ribosomal RNA". It matches the Rfam family "Bacterial small subunit ribosomal RNA", at positions 28 to 1378 of the family's 1533-position model. The record is from RNAcentral.
GACGAACGCUGGCGGCGUGCUUAACACAUGCAAGUCGAACGGAAAGGCCCUGCUUUUGUGGGGUGCUCGAGUGGCGAACGGGUGAGUAACACGUGAGUAACCUGCCCUUGACUUUGGGAUAACUUCAGGAAACUGGGGCUAAUACCGGAUAGGAGCUCCUGCUGCAUGGUGGGGGUUGGAAAGUUUCGGCGGUUGGGGAUGGACUCGCGGCUUAUCAGCUUGUUGGUGGGGUAGUGGCUUACCAAGGCUUUGACGGGUAGCCGGCCUGAGAGGGUGACCGGCCACAUUGGGACUGAGAUACGGCCCAGACUCCUACGGGAGGCAGCAGUGGGGAAUAUUGCACAAUGGGCGGAAGCCUGAUGCAGCAACGCCGCAUGCGGGAUGACGGCCUUCGGGUUGUAAACCGCUUUCGCCUGUGACGAAGCGUGAGUGACGGUAAUGGGUAAAGAAGCACCGGCUAACUACGUGCCAGCAGCCGCGGUGAUACGUAGGGUGCGAGCGUUGUCCGGAUUUAUUGGGCGUAAAGGGCUCGUAGGUGGUUGAUCGCGUCGGAAGUGUAAUCUUGGGGCUUAACCCUGAGCGUGCUUUCGAUACGGGUUGACUUGAGGAAGGUAGGGGAGAAUGGAAUUCCUGGUGGAGCGGUGGAAUGCGCAGAUAUCAGGAGGAACACCAGUGGCGAAGGCGGUUCUCUGGGCCUUUCCUGACGCUGAGGAGCGAAAGCGUGGGGAGCGAACAGGCUUAGAUACCCUGGUAGUCCACGCUGUAAACGGUGGGUACUAGGUGUGGGGUCCAUUCCACGGGUUCCGUGCCGUAGCUAACGCUUUAAGUACCCCGCCUGGGGAGUACGGCCGCAAGGCUAAAAUUCAAAGGAAUUGACGGGGCCCCGCACAAGCGGCGGAGCAUGCGGAUUAAUUCGAUGCAACGCGUAGAACCUUACCUGGGUUUGACAUGGAUCGGGAGUGCUCAGAGAUGGGUGUGCCUCUUUUGGGGUCGGUUCACAGGUGGUGCAUGGCUGUCGUCAGCUCGUGUCGUGAGAUGUUGGGUUAAGUCCCGCAACGAGCGCAACCCUUGUUCACUGUUGCCAGCACGUUAUGGUGGGGACUCAGUGGAGACCGCCGGGGUCAACUCGGAGGAAGGUGGGGAUGACGUCAAGUCAUCAUGCCCCUUAUGUCCAGGGCUUCACGCAUGCUACAAUGGCUGGUACAGAGAGUGGCGAGCCUGUGAGGGUGAGCGAAUCUCGGAAAGCCGGUCUCAGUUCGGAUUGGGGUCUGCAACUCGACCUCAUGAAGUCGGAGUCGCUAGUAAUCGCAGAUCAGCAACGCUGCGGUGAAUAAGUUCCCGGG